This 844-nucleotide small RNA is filed under the name Cryptococcus neoformans H99. RNAcentral describes it as "Cryptococcus neoformans var. grubii H99 hypothetical RNA". The record is from RNAcentral. Lineage: Eukaryota; Fungi; Basidiomycota; Tremellomycetes; Tremellales; Cryptococcaceae.
CAGGGAUCCUCUCCUCGAAAAAACGCAAAGAUUGAUGUCUUGGGCCCGAACAGAGCCAUUUCUCGAAAUGACAGAUUUUUCGACCUUUUGAGAGGCUUUUUAGCAUAUAUGUAGUAGUGUGGCCUAACAACAAUUUUCAUCCUUCGAGUCUUCAAACCCAAUCUGUUUUCAACCUGUAGACACGGAGAUCAUCAGUGCCUCCAGGUCCCGCCAUCGACGACGAGCCGUGGCCGUCAGGUUCGCUCUUCCGGCGGAUGAUUGAAGAUAAUGUGCCUCCACAUCUCUCCUACAAAUUACAUUCCAAGAAUGUUAUGGAGAUGGAUGCUCUGAUGAUUUCUGGAAGAAUAAGAAUUGCUGGAAGUAGAGUACGCGCAUCGAAGCUUCGGAGGACGGAGGAGAUCAUAGAAGUGGAUAAAAAAUGGGGGCACAUCACUGAUGCUCUGUUUAUUGCUGACGACGAGAGCAUAUCCUGAGAUGCUGAAGAGACGGCAAUUUGUACGAAAAUGGAAUCCAGGAGGAAGCGGACGAGGAUGAUGGCAAUCGUGAAGAUGGUGCCUGGGGAGAUGACGGUGAAGAUGACAAUCAACAUGGUGGUUCCGAGAAAGACAACAACGGAAUUGACAGGGAGGCGAAACGCCGGAUGGAAGAAGCUGACAAAGAACGAAAGGCCAGAAUUAGUCCAAUCGAGAUAAAUAUUCUAGAGGGGAUGGAAGUUUGUAGGAAUGGAAUAAUAGUACCCCACUUCUUCCUCCUACAUAUAGAUCGUCCGUCGUGCGUAUUGUUUGUACGAGAGAAAACAUAAUAGUAAAUUUGAAAUGAAUAUUUAAAAGUAGUAUUUUUUAUU